Molecule: long non-coding RNA, 322 nt
Organism: Cannabis sativa
Lineage: Eukaryota; Viridiplantae; Streptophyta; Magnoliopsida; Rosales; Cannabaceae
Exons: 3
Source: RefSeq, a predicted model, not a curated record
GACUUUGAAAAUGCAGUGAAGAACCCUCCCAAUAAACUUAAUGAAGACCAAUGGCGACUAAUAUGUGAAUUGUUCACAACUCCUGAUUUCAUUCAACGGUCGAAGCAAAACUCUAUCAAUCGACAGAAGAUGAAAUUCUCUUCAACAACAGGGUCGGUAACUAUGGCUGAGAUUCUUCGUCAAAAACAAGGAAAGGGUUACAUUGAGACUUGGAAAGAAUGUCAUACUAAGAAAGACACCAACACCUUCAUCAAUGAGGCUGCCAAAAAUAAAUAUGAAGAGAUGUUGACAACUCGAAAUAGUGCUCCUGAAUCUUCACAAG